RNAcentral lists this ribosomal RNA (560 nucleotides) under uncultured Rhodospirillaceae bacterium. RNAcentral's name for it is "bacterial SSU rRNA". It matches the Rfam family "Bacterial small subunit ribosomal RNA", at positions 9 to 601 of the family's 1533-position model. Lineage: Bacteria; Pseudomonadati; Pseudomonadota; Alphaproteobacteria; Rhodospirillales; Rhodospirillaceae. The record is from RNAcentral.
GAGUUUGAUCCUGGCUCAGAACCAACGCUGGCGGCAUGCCUAACACAUGCAAGUCGAACGGGAAGCCGGUCUUCGGGCCGGUGGAGAGUGGCGAACGGGUGAGGAACGCGUGGGGACCUGCCCCGGGGUGGGGGAUAACCGCUGGAAACGGCGGCUAAUACCGCAUACGCCUUGCGAGGGAAAGAUUUAUCGCCCUGGGAUGGCCCCGCGUCCGAUUAGCUUGUUGGUGGGGUAACGGCCUACCAAGGCGGCGAUCGGUCGCUGGUCUGAGAGGAUGAUCAGCCACACUGGGACUGAGACACGGCCCAGACUCCUACGGGAGGCAGCAGUGGGGAAUAUUGGACAAUGGGGGCAACCCUGAUCCAGCAAUGCCGCGUGAGUGAAGAAGGCCUUAGGGUUGUAAAGCUCUUUCGCCCGUGACGAUGAUGACGGUAGCGGGAGAAGAAGCCCCGGCUAACUCCGUGCCAGCAGCCGCGGUAAUACGGAGGGGGCGAGCGUUGUUCCGGAAUUACUGGGCGUAAAGCGCGCCGUAGGCGGCUGCGCUAGUCGGGGGUGAAAAG